CAUAGAUUUCUGAGGUCUGGAAAAACACAGAGCGCAGAGGAAGAAGCCUCAUGCAUAAGCAGCGGAGUCACUCGCUGCAUUCAGAGGAGAUCAGCUGUGCCCUAGAAGAUUGAGAGAAACACGGGGGCAAAAUUCCACAAUACCUGUUUUCUUCAAAGAAGAGCUGCUGCGUGAAGAUCAUUCCUUUGUUAAAAAGCAAGAUUCAUUUGAAUAAAUUUCAUGAUGCAUGUACUGUGUUAAAUGAUUCAGGAAUUGGGCACCAUCACUUCUAGUGAAUAGAAAA
Long non-coding RNA from Suncus etruscus (white-toothed pygmy shrew), 283 nucleotides. RefSeq lists it as uncharacterized. The transcript is spliced from 2 exons. NCBI's taxonomy places the organism in Eukaryota, Metazoa, Chordata, Mammalia, Eulipotyphla, Soricidae. The record is from RefSeq and is a predicted model, not a curated record.